GCACUGCUGAGGAGUCCCAUAACGGAACGAAACAGUUGUCCAGUGC
This 46-nucleotide non-coding RNA is filed under the name Schistosoma curassoni. The record is from RNAcentral. Lineage: Eukaryota; Metazoa; Platyhelminthes; Trematoda; Strigeidida; Schistosomatidae.